GAUGAACGCUAGCGGCAGGCUUAAUACAUGCAAGUCGUGGGGCAGCAUGAGUAGCAAUACUUGAUGGCGACCGGCAAACGGGUGAGGAACACGUACACAACCUUCCUUCAAGCGGGAAUAGCCCAGAGAAAUUUGGAUUAAUACCCCAUAAUAUAUUUGAUAAGGCAUCUUAUUAAUAAUUAAAGCUUCGGCACUUGAUGAUGGGUGUGCGGCUGAUUAGAUAGUUGGCGGGGUAACGGCCCACCAAGUCUACGAUCAGUAGCUGAUGUGAGAGCAUGAUCAGCCACACGGGCACUGAGACACGGGCCCGACUCCUACGGGAGGCAGCAGUAAGGAAUAUUGGACAAUGGACGAAAGUACUGAUCCAGCCA
Molecule: ribosomal RNA, 371 nt
Filed under: uncultured bacterium
Lineage: Bacteria
Description: bacterial SSU rRNA
Rfam family: Bacterial small subunit ribosomal RNA
Source: RNAcentral